UUUUUUAUUUUGGCUUGGGUCUCUGGCUUGGCAAUUUUUCCUUUCUGGGUUCACCUAUAUGUGGGACUAGCUUGAGCCCUAAUUAGUUCUGGAGGUAAUGCGCAUCCUUCCCAACAAGCCACUACAGCCCUUUUCCAUACAUCAGCCCAUUCACAUCCCUGUUCAGGGUCUCUCUCCCCUUCUUAUUAGUGAUUUUUUGUUUGUCUUAAUUCUUUAUUAUAUUUUGACUUCUACAAUAUAGGAUCUACUGCUUUUGCUUUCAUGUUUGAUUGCUUGGUUUGCCUUGAUCAGUCAGCUUGCGGUCAUGGUCCACGCCGCUCUGUGUAUGUGUGACUGUUUUGGUGCUGCUGGCUGGCAAUCGCUCUCUUUUAGUGCUCUGUGUUCCUCCCCUCUGCACUCAUACGUUUCCUUCCUUUUUUCCUUUUUCUCCAGAGUGCGGCUCCGCUGAUUGGCCGGUGUCAUCAUAUGACACGGCUGCUUCAGCGCUAAGGAGUGUGGGAAUUGUAGGCAUCUCAGCGACCAUGUGACCUCUGAGAUCCAAUCGCGAUGCACCCGCCUCCCCAACAGGCUAUAUAUAGCAUGAUAUGAUCAUUAUCUGUCUGCUACCAACAGGGUACUGACAGAUGUCUUUAUUCCUCUUAAAGAUAGAUGAAUUGAGGCUCUUCAGUGCCCAUGUUAUUGUCUUACUUAAUUCCCCUGUAUUCACCUUGAUUUUAUUACGCUUCAAGUCCUGUCAGUUGAACUUGGAUUUCAAUAUCCACCCUGAGGGGGUUUUUCCUUGACUGGCUGUGCAUGAAGCUAGGAGUAAUCUAGAGAGACGAUCUUGUCCUAAUUCCCCUGAAGAAGCCAAGAGGCGAAACUAGUAGGGUCGACCUGAUCGAAAAAAUUAUUUCUAGAUCCUGCUCCCACAAAAU
Rana temporaria (common frog) is the source of this 914-nucleotide long non-coding RNA. RefSeq lists it as uncharacterized. NCBI's taxonomy places the organism in Eukaryota, Metazoa, Chordata, Amphibia, Anura, Ranidae. The record is from RefSeq and is a predicted model, not a curated record. The transcript has 4 exons.